RNAcentral lists this ribosomal RNA (293 nucleotides) under uncultured bacterium. RNAcentral describes it as "partial 16S ribosomal RNA". The record is from RNAcentral.
GGACUACACGGGUAUCUAAUCCUGUUUGCUCCCCACGCUUUCGCUCCUCAGCGUCAGUUCCGGCCCAGAGCACCGCCUUCGCCACUGGUGUUCCUCCUGAUAUCUGCGCAUUUCACCGCUACACCAGGAAUUCCAUGCUCCCCUACCGGACUCUAGCCACAGCAGUAUCGGGUGGCGUCUCUAGGUUGAGCCUAGAGUUUUCACACCCGACUUACCGAGCCGCCUACGAGCUCUUUACGCCCAAUAAAUCCGGACAACGCUCGCCCCCUACGUGUUACCGCGGCGGCUGGCAC